GGAUUGUGGCUCAGUGAUAGAGCGCUCGCCUAGCACGUGCAAGGCCCUGGGUUCAAUCUUCAGCACCA
Molecule: transfer RNA, 68 nt
Filed under: Marmota monax (woodchuck)
Lineage: Eukaryota; Metazoa; Chordata; Mammalia; Rodentia; Sciuridae
Description: tRNA.Ala
Source: RNAcentral